This 2509-nucleotide ribosomal RNA is filed under the name Epimeria similis. Its description in RNAcentral is "18S ribosomal RNA". It matches the Rfam family "Eukaryotic small subunit ribosomal RNA". The record is from RNAcentral. Lineage: Eukaryota; Metazoa; Arthropoda; Malacostraca; Amphipoda; Epimeriidae.
CCUAGCUGGUUGAUCCUGCCAGUAGUGAUAUGCUUGUUUCAAAGACUAAGCCAUGCAUGUCUAAGUCCAAGCUGUGUGUUUGUGGGUGAAAGCUCGCACACACGGCGAAACCGCGGACGGCUCAUUAAAUCAGUUGUGGUCCAAAUGGGCUAGCGUUAUCUUACUUGGAUAACUGUGGUAAUUCCAGAGCUAAUACAUGCAACAGAUAGUUCGAACGACGUGUUUGUUGGGCAGGGGUCUCUCUGCCUUUCAUUCUUUCGUUGUGACGACUGCUUUUAUUAGACCAAAACCGCAUAGGGAGUGAGAGUGUUUUAUCUUUCGCUCCUGACGACUCGUGUAAUGGUGACUCUGGAUAACAAACUAUGACAAGCGCACGUAUCCAUUCAUUUGGGACGGCGCUUCCACUUUCGAGUGUCUGACUUAUCAGCUAUGAAUCGUUCGUUAUGUGCUACCGAUGGCUUUGACGGGUAACGGGGAAUCAGGGUUUGAUUCCGGAGAGGCAGCCUGAGAAACGGCUACCACGUCCAAGGACGGCAGCAGGCACGCAAAUUACCCAAUCCCAGCUACUGGGGGAGGUAGUGACGAAAUCUAACGAUGCGGGCGCCCCUUCUGGGGCCCCGCAAUCGGAAUGAGCAUUUUCUUUCUAAACACCCUGUUGAGAACCCACUGAAGGGCAAGUCUGGUGCCAGCAGCCGCGGUAAUUCCAGCUUCAGCAGCAUAUACUAAAGUUGCUGCGGUUAAAAGGCUCGCAGUUGAAUGUCAGUACCAAGUGUAGCGAUGGUGGACGUUGGGGUGUGGGAUCGGUCCCUCGUUAUGGCUGUGUUUGUGUGUUCGCUUUGCGGCGUGCAUAUAUAUCAUUGCUACGCGAGUGUGUUCGUUCUCCAUCUAUAGCCCCCGUCCGUAAACAGCCUCCUCACUUUCGUACAAAAUGGAAUCUAUACGUUUUAAAGUAUUGAGUUUUGUUGGCUUUACUAUGGCGUCGCGUACUUUACUGUGCGUGGCGUGGUUUGGUCUUUGAUUCUUGUGCCCGGGAAUAUGGUCCCAAUGUUACCUUGAGUAAAUUGGAGUGCUCAAAGCAGUCGUAAGGAAUGUGCAGUUAACGCUGUACGUUCUGUGAUGAAUGUCUUCGGACAGACAGUCUUGGUUUUGCAUGGUAUGUCGAAAGACGCCGUAUAAUCUCCUGUUGGUAACGAGUCUGGGGCGGGCUCGCACCUUAGACUCGCGCUCAUACUCUUUCGGGGGUGUGUGUGUGUUGUUGAGAGAGUGCGACAUAUGAGACCAACAGGUACGGAAUGAUUAAAAGGCUCGGUCGAGGGUAUCGGUAUUGCGAGGCGAGAGGUGAAAUUCUAUGACCCCCGCAAGACCUCCUGAAGCGAAAGCGUCUGCCAUGGACGUUUUCAUUAAUCAUGAACGAAAGUUAGAGGAUCGAAGGCGAUCAGAUACCGCCCUAGUUCUAACCCUAAACGAUGCCAACCAUCAAUCCGCGCGUAGCCCUUUCUAACGGGCUCGGCGGGCAGCUCCCCACUCACGGGAAACCAGAGUCUCUGGGUUCCGGGGGGAGUCUGGUUGCAAAGCUGAAACUUAAAGGAAUUGACGGAAAGGCACCACCAGGCGUGGCAGCUGCGGCUUAAUUUGACUCAACACGGGCCAUCUCACCAGGCCAGCACUCUUGUAUGAUUGACAGAUUGAAAGUUCUUUCUCGAUUCAGUGGAUGGUGGUGCAUGGCCGUUCUUAGUUGGUGGAGUGAUCUGUCUGGUUAAUUCCGAUAUACGAACGAGACUCUCCCCUGCUAACUAGUCGGUUGGAUCUUGCGUCUGGAGAGUUGUGUAUUCGCUUGCGCUCGUUCGUUGCUUUCAUUGGGUAUUUGUGUGUGUUGCUCCUCCGUGGGUGAUAUAUAUUUUAUUCGAUGUUUAGUGUACUUACGCGGUGUCUUUGUGUUUCACACUCCAAGUCCGCCGCUUAUUCAAAAUGUGAUGUCUAACAGCAAAGCGAUAUAUGUGUAAAACUCUUCUUAGAGGGAUUCACGGUUCUGAAACCGUAAGAAACUGAGAGCAAUAACAGGUCUGUGAUGCCCUUAGAUGUUCUGGGCCGCACGCGCCGCUACAAUGCCGGGCUCAGCAGGUACUUAUCCUUCUCCGAGAGGAGUGGGUAAUCCUCUCGAAAGCCCUUCAAACAAUAAUUCAAAGGCUUACGUCUCUCGCGUGUUAUGCGCGAGAACGUUAUCUCUUCCUUGGCUUGCUUGGGCCUGGGGCUUGCAAUUCUUUCCCACAAACGAGGAAUGCCUAGUAGCGGCGGAUCACGGAGUUCGCUGUGACUCAGUCCCUGCCCUUUGUACACACCGCCCGUCGCUACUACCGAUUGGGUGUACCAGUGAGAUCUUUGGACUGGCGAGCCUUGUGUUCUUUACCGAGCGCAAGUGUGUACGACGGGAAGAGGCUCGAACUGGUGCACUUAGAGGAAGUAAAAGUCGUAACAAGGUUUCCGUAGUGAACCUGCGGAAGGAUCAUUA